RNAcentral lists this ribosomal RNA (255 nucleotides) under uncultured bacterium. Its description in RNAcentral is "partial 16S ribosomal RNA". It matches the Rfam family "Bacterial small subunit ribosomal RNA", at positions 524 to 776 of the family's 1533-position model. The record is from RNAcentral.
UACAGAGGGGGCAAGCGUUAUUCGGAAUUAUUGGGCGUAAAGGGCGCGUAGGCGGCCUGGCAAGUGGAAGGUGAAAUCCCUCGGCUUUAACCGAGGAACUGCCCUCCAAACUGCUUGGCUUGAGUCCGGGAGAGGUGAGUGGAAUUCCCAGUGUAGCGGUGAAAUGCGUAGAUAUUGGGAGGAACACCAGUGGCGAAGGCGGCUCACUGGACGAUGACUGACGCUGAGACGCGAAAGCGUGGGGGAGCAAACAGG